GGAAGCCUUUGAAAAGAAGCUUGAAGCUUCAAGACCCAUGUCUCCUAAGUCCCUCACCUCUCAGAGUCUUAUCCUUACGUCCUUUCUCUCUUUCACAUCUCUCCAUCCAUCUCCACUGCGAUUGGAGAUUCCAUGGCUCCACGGUUCCACCUCAUGUUGAACCAAUGGAGAUGCUGCGCAUGUUGAAUUGAUGGGCGAAGACUGGAUAUGAUGUGAAUGUUGAAUUGAAGAUGGCUCUCAACCUAACGAAGGUGGCAGACACUAGAGAGGCAAGCGUUGGAGACAUAUGCAUCUCUGAAUCUGAUGAAGAUGGCACUGUAAUAUGGGUUCAGAGUCUAUACAAUGUUUCUUGACCCUUUCAAUUGGAAUAUGGGUUAGUGUGUGUCUGUUUAUUUUUAAUUACAGUUAUUCCUUUCAAACUUUUUGGGUCUUAUCUUGUGAAUGUGAUUUUGAAAUUGUUACUGUUAUUGUGAAAUUUUGAAACUAUGAUUGUGAAUGAAAUU
RNAcentral lists this unclassified non-coding RNA (503 nucleotides) under Hevea brasiliensis (rubber tree). The record is from RNAcentral. Lineage: Eukaryota; Viridiplantae; Streptophyta; Magnoliopsida; Malpighiales; Euphorbiaceae.